GUGCCAGCCGCCGCGGUAAUACGUAGGGAGCAAGCGUUAUCCGGAUUUACUGGGUGUAAAGGGUGCGUANGCGGCUAUGUAAGUCAGAUGUGAAAUUUAGAGGCUCAACUUCUAAACUGCAUUUGAAACUGUAUAGCUUGAGUGAAGUAGAGGCAGGCGGAAUUCCCUGUGUAGCGGUGAAAUGCGUAGAGAUAGGGAGGAACACCAGUGGCGAAGGCGGCCUGCUGGGCUUUAACUGACGCUGAGGCACGAAAGCGUGGGUAGCAAACAGGAUUAGAUACCCUGGUAGUCCACGCUGUAAACGAUGAUUACUAGGUGUGGGGGGUCUGACCCCUUCCGUGCCGCAGUUAACACAAUAAGUAAUCCACCUGGGGAGUACGGCCGCAAGGUUGAAACUCAAAGGAAUUGACGGGGGCCCGCACAAGCAGUGGAGUAUGUGGUUUAAUUCGAAGCAACGCGAAGAACCUUACCAGGUCUUGACAUCCUAAGAAUCCUUCAGAGAUGAGGGAGUGCCUUUCGAGGAAUUUAGAGACAGGUGGUGCAUGGUUGUCGUCAGCUCGUGUCGUGAGAUGUUGGGUUAAGUCCCGCAACGAGCGCAACCCUUGCUAUUAGUUGCUACGCAAGAGCACUCUAAUAGGACUGCCGUUGACAAAACGGAGGAAGGUGGGGAUGACGUCAAAUCAUCAUGCCCCUUAUGACCUGGGCUACACACGUACUACAAUGGCCGUCAACAGAGGGCAGCGAAAUAGUGAUAUGGAGCAAAUCCCUAAAAACGGUCUCAGUUCGGACUGCAGGCUGCAACCCGCCUGCACGAAGUUGGAAUUGCUAGUAAUCGCGGAUCAGCAUGUCGCGGUGAAUACGUUCCCGGGCCUUGUACACACCGCCCGU
RNAcentral lists this ribosomal RNA (888 nucleotides) under uncultured bacterium. RNAcentral describes it as "bacterial SSU rRNA". It matches the Rfam family "Bacterial small subunit ribosomal RNA", at positions 505 to 1397 of the family's 1533-position model. The record is from RNAcentral.